RNAcentral lists this ribosomal RNA (468 nucleotides) under Lottia peitaihoensis. RNAcentral's name for it is "partial large subunit ribosomal RNA". It matches the Rfam family "Bacterial large subunit ribosomal RNA", at positions 1985 to 2540 of the family's 2925-position model. The record is from RNAcentral. Lineage: Eukaryota; Metazoa; Mollusca; Gastropoda; Lottiidae.
UGGCUGUAUGAUGGUCUUACGCUGGUGGCGCUGUCUCAUAGCAUUAAUUUGAAUUUAACUUUUGGGUGAAAAGGCCCAGAUAAACCUAAAAGACUAUUAGACCCUAUCGAACUUUAGGUAGAUUCUCUACCGGGGCCUUGGUUAACAAGAAGCGCCUGAAUAGGGUAAAAACCUUUGGUUGGGGUAACCGGGGACUAAGAAAAACGCCCCCCCCCUUUUUUCGUAUGUAAACACCCGUUAUGAUAAGGGUAAUACAGAUUUUACCCCCAGGGCAAUUGGCCAAAAGGAAAGUAAUUUUUUAGGAAGUUAUAUAGGAAUGACAAUUCAUGUGUUACUUGUAAAAUGAACCUAAAGACCCACAACUUGUGGGAAGCUGUUAAUAGGGAAGAGUUACCGUAUGGAUAACACCCUAAUCUUCCCGGCGAGACCACAUUAAGGGGAAGGUUUGCGACCUCUAUGUUGGCUACC